Molecule: ribosomal RNA, 542 nt
Filed under: uncultured bacterium
Lineage: Bacteria
Description: partial 16S ribosomal RNA
Rfam family: Bacterial small subunit ribosomal RNA
Source: RNAcentral
UGGGGAAUAUUGCACAAUGGGCGCAAGCCUGAUGCAGCCAUGCCGCGUGUGUGAAGAAGGCCUUCGGGUUGUAAAGCACUUUCAGCGAGGAGGAAGGUGGUGAGCUUAAUACGCUCAUCAAUUGACGUUACUCGCAGAAGAAGCACCGGCUAACUCCGUGCCAGCAGCCGCGGUAAUACGGAGGGUGCAAGCGUUAAUCGGAAUUACUGGGCGUAAAGCGCACGCAGGCGGUUUGUUAAGUCAGAUGUGAAAUCCUCGGGCUCAACCUGGGAACUGCAUUUGAAACUGGCAAGCUAGAGUCUCGUAGAGGGGGGUAGAAUUCCAGGUGUAGGCGGUGAAAUGCGUAGAGAUCUGGAGGAAUACCGGUGGCGAAGGCGGCCCCCUGGACGAAGACUGACGCUCAGGUGCGAAAGCGUGGGGAGCAAAACAGGAUUAGAGUACCCUGGUAGUCCACGCUGUAAACCGAUGUCGAUUUGGAGGUUGUGCCCUUGAGGCGUGGCUUCCGGAGCUAACGCGUUAAAUCGACCGCCUGGGGAGUACGG